This 544-nucleotide ribosomal RNA is filed under the name uncultured bacterium. RNAcentral's name for it is "bacterial SSU rRNA". It matches the Rfam family "Bacterial small subunit ribosomal RNA", at positions 777 to 1319 of the family's 1533-position model. The record is from RNAcentral.
AAUAGAUACCCCGGUAGUCCACGCCGUAAACGAUGAGUGCUAAGUGUUGGGGGGUUUCCGCCCCUCAGUGCUGCAGCUAACGCAUUAAGCACUCCGCCUGGGGAGUACGGUCGCAAGACUGAAACUCAAAGGAAUUGACGGGGGCCCGCACAAGCGGUGGAGCAUGUGGUUUAAUUCGAAGCAACGCGAAGAACCUUACCAGGUCUUGACAUCCCGGUGACCACUAUGGAGACAUAGUUUCCCCUUCGGGGGCAACGGUGACAGGUGGUGCAUGGUUGUCGUCAGCUCGUGUCGUGAGAUGUUGGGUUAAGUCCCGCAACGAGCGCAACCCUUAUUCUUAGUUGCCAUCAUUCAGUUGGGCACUCUAAGGAGACUGCCGGUGAUAAACCGGAGGAAGGUGGGGAUGACGUCAAAUCAUCAUGCCCCUUAUGACCUGGGCUACACACGUGCUACAAUGGACGGUACAAACGGUUGCCAACCCGCGAGGGGGAGCUAAUCCGAUAAAACCGUUCUCAGUUCGGAUUGUAGGCUGCAACUCGCCUAC